GGGUCAGUAGCUCCAACGGCUAGAGCGGCGGACUCCAAAUCCGUAGGUUGCAGGUUCGAAUCCUGCCUGACCCG
This 74-nucleotide transfer RNA is filed under the name Binataceae bacterium (SeqCode). RNAcentral's name for it is "tRNA-Trp". It matches the Rfam family "tRNA". From Rfam's summary of the family: Transfer RNA (tRNA) molecules are approximately 80 nucleotides in length. Their secondary structure includes four short double-helical elements and three loops (D, anti-codon, and T loops). Lineage: Bacteria; Candidatus Binatota; Binatia (SeqCode); Binatales (SeqCode); Binataceae (SeqCode). The record is from RNAcentral.